Molecule: ribosomal RNA, 253 nt
Filed under: uncultured bacterium
Lineage: Bacteria
Description: partial 16S ribosomal RNA
Rfam family: Bacterial small subunit ribosomal RNA
Source: RNAcentral
UACAGAGGGGGCAAGCGUUGUUCGGAAUUACUGGGCGUAAAGGGCGCGUAGGCGGCCUGUUAAGUCGAACGUGAAAUCCCCGGGCUCAACCCGGGAACUGCGUCCGAUACUGGCAGGCUUGAAUUCGGGAGAGGGAUGUGGAAUUCCAGGUGUAGCGGUGAAAUGCGUAGAUAUCUGGAGGAACACCGGUGGCGAAGGCGGCAUCCUGGGCCGAUAUUGACGCUGAUGCGCGAAAGCCAGGGGAGCAAACGGG